CAGUCGCCGCGGUAAUACGAAGGGUGCAAGCGUUACUCGGAAUUACUGGGCGUAAAGCGUGCGUAGGUGGUGGUUUAAGUCCGUUGUGAAAGCCCUGGGCUCAACCUGGGAAUUGCAGUGGAUACUGGAUCACUAGAGUGUGGUAGAGGAUAGUGGAAUUCCCGGUGUAGCAGUGAAAUGCGUAGAGAUCGGAAGGAACAUCUGUGGCGAAGGCGACUAUCUGGGCCAACACUGACACUGAGGCACGAAAGCGUGGGGAGCAAACAGGAUUAGAUACCCGCGUAGUCCCUGUCUCUUAUAC
This 301-nucleotide ribosomal RNA is filed under the name uncultured bacterium. RNAcentral's name for it is "partial 16S ribosomal RNA". It matches the Rfam family "Bacterial small subunit ribosomal RNA", at positions 509 to 807 of the family's 1533-position model. The record is from RNAcentral.